RNAcentral lists this small RNA (252 nucleotides) under Pongo abelii (Sumatran orangutan). RNAcentral's name for it is "sense intronic". Lineage: Eukaryota; Metazoa; Chordata; Mammalia; Primates; Hominidae. The record is from RNAcentral.
CAAAAGAUCUGCUUCAACCUUCCCCAGUUAAUCUUUUGCCAGAAGAUUCACAAUCUGAAUGUGGCUCAAUAUAAAGAAAUCCUUCAGUCAAGUUUCCAUAAAGGCCCUCUUUCCUGCUUCUGGCUGAGCUCCUACUAAAAAGAAGAUUAAUGUGGAAAUUAAUCUAAUCCAGGAUUAAUAAGUAGAAGACUUCCUUAAACUGGGCAAUUUUCUGUCAAUUUGAUUAUAAUAAAUAUUUUGCAUUUAAGAGUU